This is a long non-coding RNA of Cygnus olor (mute swan), 268 nucleotides long. RefSeq lists it as uncharacterized. The record is from RefSeq and is a predicted model, not a curated record. NCBI's taxonomy places the organism in Eukaryota, Metazoa, Chordata, Aves, Anseriformes, Anatidae. The transcript has 3 exons.
CAGCCGUUCCGGAGGCUCCCAGUGCACAGAGUCCAGCACCAUGGUUGAGAGCAGCUGGGUCCCCUGUGAGUCUUGGGGUUUCAGAUCAGAGGAAGGAGCUGCAGGAAAAACGGGGCCUGAAACGGGCAGCUGAACUGCCAGGAAUGACCCAGAACAGGAAGGAAGGCUGCCCUCCAGAGCAUGCUUGAGAGACACCUCCAGACCCCAGGGAGAUAUGGUGUGGAGUUGAAAGCUGCUUCUGAAUCUUCCCAGAUUCCCUGCUUCUGCC